GGAAAUUCUUUGUAAGGCUUUGCAAAACGUACUUCUGCCGUACGUUCACGGCGUGUGACGUAGCUUUUUUAUAUAUUUUUUUGGUCAACCUUUACUUUCUCCGGCAGCUGCCGUUGCUGGCAUUCCAAAACUAAUAUCCUCUCUCUAUUCUUCAGAGGCAGUCUCCACCAACACAGCCGCCAGCAUCAAACCAAGUCUGAAGCGUGAGUCACGUAUUGACCUCGUAGCAGCUAUAGGAAGAGCGAGGGCUUCGAGUUUCUGACUCCAAUUUCUCCAACAAAUAAAAAUGCCGCCUUUGAAAUUUAUCUUUUAAUUUUUAAUCGGCGGAUGAGUUAGGUUGAAAAGACUUGUUAAGAGGCUUGAGAUCAGAUUCCAAUGUUCCAACCUUCACUGUUGACUAAACAAAUUCAA
RNAcentral lists this unclassified non-coding RNA (411 nucleotides) under Hevea brasiliensis (rubber tree). The record is from RNAcentral. Lineage: Eukaryota; Viridiplantae; Streptophyta; Magnoliopsida; Malpighiales; Euphorbiaceae.